UCUCGGGGUUACAGCCUUGCUGAAUUAUUCACCCUUGUCUUUUGCGUACUUCUUGUUUCCUUGGUGGGUUCGCCCACCACUAGGACAAACAUAAACCUUUUGUAAUUGCAAUCAGCGUCAGUAACAAAUUAAUAAUUACAACUUUCAACAACGGAUCUCUUGGUUCUGGCAUCGAUGAAGAACGCAGCGAAAUGCGAUAAGUAGUGUGAAUUGCAGAAUUCAGUGAAUCAUCGAAUCUUUGAACGCACAUUGCGCCCUUUGGUAUUCCAAAGGGCAUGCCUGUUCGAGCGUCAUUUGUACCCUCAAGCUUUGCUUGGUGUUGGGCGUCUUGUCUCUAGCUUUGCUGGAGACUCGCCUUAAAGUAAUUGGCAGCCGGCCUACUGGUUUCGGAGCGCAGCACAAGUCGCACUCUCUAUCAGCAAAGGUCUAGCAUCCAUUAAGCCUUUUUUUCAACUUUUGACCUCGGAUCAGGUAGGGAUACCCGCUGAACUUAAGCAUAUCAU
RNAcentral lists this ribosomal RNA (503 nucleotides) under Alternaria sp. CJL-2014. RNAcentral describes it as "eukaryotic LSU rRNA". The stretch from base 140 to 293 matches the Rfam family "5.8S ribosomal RNA". The record is from RNAcentral. Lineage: Eukaryota; Fungi; Ascomycota; Dothideomycetes; Pleosporales; Pleosporaceae.